UGGGCCCCAGCAGAGGGCGAGUGGCAGGAGGACACUUGAGUGGAUUCUGCAAAAAGCCACACAGCUUUCCUCUGAUGGAUCAAAAUGAAAGAACGUCGGUCCUGGCAGUCUUUCAGCCACAAAGCUUUGAGAAAUGGGGCUAAAUAUUAAUAAUAACUGCUUGGAUUAUAAUGAGGAAUCAAUCAAAACACAUACUGUUGAUGAAGAUGCCUUGAACACCGUGGAUGCUGUAGAAUAAGGGAUUAUGACUACAGCAAUUCUUGGCUCCCUUCUCUGUUUGUUUAAGGGUUACACAGGCUUUGUUUAAUAUCUCCGUGUCUCAGUCCUUUCGGUUGAAGCACAAGGCAUGCUUCAGCCACCUGAGAUUAACUGCUAAACCCUGCAGCAAGCCAGCAUCUCCUCCCUGCUGCCUCUCAUCCGUCAGGAUCUGCUCUGGAAAUGGGCCAGUGGUGACGUGUGGGAAUGCAGCCCUUUGUGUUUGUUUUUGGUGUUGGAUUUGGUGGCCUUGGUCACGGAUUGGCUUCCUUCUUUGAAACUGAACAUCUUCCAUGCCUUUGUGAUUGAGUGACAAAAGUUCAACCUGCACAUGCCAAAAUGAACAGCCUAGAAAACUGAUUAUGGUUUCAGGACCAGCUUUAAAAAAAAGCAACAAAACCCUUCCAGUCACCCAGAGUUCUAAACAUAAUCGGUUGGUUCCCAGAAGUACAAUAAAAGGAAGCCAGAA
This 724-nucleotide long non-coding RNA is filed under the name Homo sapiens (human). RNAcentral describes it as "HSALNT0393342". The record is from RNAcentral. Lineage: Eukaryota; Metazoa; Chordata; Mammalia; Primates; Hominidae.